This is a non-coding RNA of Peromyscus maniculatus bairdii (prairie deer mouse), 465 nucleotides long. The record is from RefSeq and is a predicted model, not a curated record. Lineage: Eukaryota; Metazoa; Chordata; Mammalia; Rodentia; Cricetidae.
CAGGACAGAGGACUAAAGCCGAAACUCCAGCCAGGGACCUCAUUGAAAACACUGAGAAUGUUGAACCUGAAGGACAAUAUAUGAACCCCAAAGAGAACCCCAAGGAUAACAACAUCAUGUACGCCUCCAUUCCCCUCUCAAGCCCAGCCUCCCCAGGAACACCACCCUGCCAACCCGUCCAUGGGAACCUCCAGGAAGAGACUGUGUACUCCAUCGUAAAGGCCAAAUGAGUGGGUCUGAGUGACGAUCUCAGAGUCACCUGUGUUUCUAGUGGGAAGACUCCCAGCUUCCACUGAUACCCACAGCCAGAGACAACAACUCAUGGGUCACUGAUACCCAUGGCCAGAGACAGAAAUCCACAUGUCAGGGCAUUUGAGCUCAGAGAAAAUCAGAAAUUCCCAGUUCCCUUUUCUAACUUUCUGAACCUUUCUCACAAAAAUAAAACAAUCCACAUAAUUUGCCUAA